UGGGGAAUCUUGCGCAAUGGGCGAAAGCCUGACGCAGCAACGCCGCGUGGGGGAAGAAGGCUUUCGGGUUGUAAACCUCUUUCAGGGGGGACGAAGCCACCGGGGUUAAUAGCCCACGGGGUGACGGUACCCCCAGAAGAAGCCCCGGCUAACUACGUGCCAGCAGCCGCGGUAAUACGUAGGGGGCAAGCGUUGUCCGGAAUCAUUGGGCGUAAAGCGCGUGUAGGUGGCUUGGUAAGUCCGGUGUGAAACCUUGGGGCUCAACCCCAAGCCUGCAUCGGAUACUGCCUCGCUCGAGUUCGGGAGGGGAGAGCGGAAUUCCUAGUGUAGCGGUGAAAUGCGCAGAUAUUAGGAAGAACACCGGUGGCGAAAGGCGGCUCUCUGGAACGAUACUGACACUGAGACGCGAAAGCGUGGGUAGCGAACAGGAUUAGAUACCCUGGUAGUCCCUGAGCGGGCUGGCAAGGCG
RNAcentral lists this ribosomal RNA (469 nucleotides) under uncultured bacterium. Its description in RNAcentral is "bacterial SSU rRNA". It matches the Rfam family "Bacterial small subunit ribosomal RNA", at positions 355 to 822 of the family's 1533-position model. The record is from RNAcentral.